This 38455-nucleotide long non-coding RNA is filed under the name Populus trichocarpa (black cottonwood). Its description in RNAcentral is "long non-coding RNA (PTRI_LNC001735)". Lineage: Eukaryota; Viridiplantae; Streptophyta; Magnoliopsida; Malpighiales; Salicaceae. The record is from RNAcentral.
CUUAAUUGAGUCAAUUUAUCCUAAUAAAAUACUGGGUUUCCAAUCUAACAUUCCGUUUUCUUAUGUCCAAAUUAAGAUAAUCAAUCAUGCAUGCAACUUAAUAUUAUACCAAAAAUGGCAACCCUGAUGGGGGAGGAAGAGAUCAUCUGCGAGAGAGAAGGACUGAUGUUUCAACGAGAGAGAGAGAGAGAGAGAGGUUCUGUCUAAUGUGAAUCUUUGGUAAAAAAAAAAAAAUUAAUUCUGUUUGUCACAUUCUUUGCACACAACUGACAUGUCCAUGGAGCUCAUGGCCAUUCAGUAUAAUAUUAAGUUAUAUGCAUGCUUGAUUCAGUUAAUUUGAACAAAAAAAAGUUAACAAAAAUGAUAGAUUGGAAACUUAGUCAUUUUAGAAGGAUAAAAUUGACUCAAUUCGGGAUAUAAGGACAUAUUGGAGACUCACUCCAUUAUACAAGGACAGACUGAGCCAUUCCACCAGAAUCAAACAUUAAAAAGCAGGGAUCAGUUCUUCUCCAACUUCUCAACUACCAUGCAAGGUCUAUUUCUCAUACAUAACUCCACUGGUAUUUAUGGAAAUGUCAAUUAGUUGCAAAGAAGGGAUCUGCAGAACCAUAGUAAUCAGGCAAAUGCUGACUGGAUGAUUGGAGAUUCAGGAACCACACCUCAUGCUCACAGUUUGUGAAAGUGGAAUUGACCCGUUUGAAGGAAUUUCUUGAGGCUAUUGAAAUUGACACGAGUAGAGAUAUUCUAAUAUUACUUUUAAGUCAAUUUUCACUUUAUGCAACCAGGGUAGUAAUGACAAUUUAAGGAUUUAAUUGUUGGAAUUGCAAGAUGUAAGACCCUUUCAGCAAAACCUAAACCUAAUUGAACAUGCAAAAAACAUGAUGGUCCAUGUAUGGGCAUGGCUGUUUCAACUUCAAAAACAUCACUAUAUUCGAAUAUCAUUAACACGAUUACUAGAACAAAGUUAUGCUGAGAUUUACAGUUACCUUUCCAAGUAACUUAAGUUCUCGUCCAACAGGUUCCAUAAAUUUCAAGUCAAACUCAAUAGGCCAAACCUGUUAAAGGGAAAAAAAAACUAAUAAAUUAAACAGGUAAUUAUGAAAAAUAACCCCGAGAACUUUCAAGCAUUAGACAGUAAGAAAUUGCAGAAAUAAGUUCUGUUCGCCAGAUUGCUUUAUGCAAAUAAGCUGCGACACAGAGCAUGACUCAAACAUAAGAGAAGUUCCUCCAAUACAUUAUAAAAGGCCCAAGUCAACCGUAUAAACCUAAAAAAAUCCUAGAUUAUUCCAAUUCAAUUAUAUGAAUCACUAUUCGAAAUUGGAAUCGAUACCUGCUCACUCGUCACCAUUAAAAGCUCUAGGUAAUUUAACCUGGUUGAUUAACCUAUUAGUCCAGAGUUCGGACCAAAAACUAUUAAUUCCAAUUACAAGAAAGUUUAACAAAGGGAUUGUCGUCAAGUCACACUUCUAUACGUUGAGAAAACAAUUAGUUGAAUAAGAACAGUAGGUUGUAGAAAAAUCCCAGGAGAAGUAAGAGCUGAUGAACGAAAAAGGAAAGAAAGAACUUAAAAUCAAUGAAAAGGAAGAAGAAGACCUUAAGACCAAGUACACGAAAGGGUGUAAUCUGGCCAGGGACGAUACAAUCAGGACCAGCAGCUUCCACAAGCGCUUCAGUAGCUAAGCCAGUUCCAAUGGGAUUAGGGUGCUUCAUGACAGAGAGGGCAUAAUCGCAAAAUGGGUUUUGAGAGACGCGGAGAAUAGGAGAGUGGUGAAUUUUGGGAAUGGGUUUUGAAGUGGAUACUCUCCAUGGGACAUCCUUUUGAAGCCCAGGGGUUGUUCCACCUUUUUUUGACAUACCUCUCUAAUACUUGCACUUCCAAUUAGGGUUUUUUUAACUGAUGAUUGAAUAAAUGCAAGAUAUUGAAAGAGGAGGAGAUUACUAUGCCAAGGAAGAAGCAAACGUAAGGUUAGGAAGGGAAGAUAGGCUUCAUAGAUGGAUAGAUGAGGUUAGAUGAGAUGAGAUGGGGGGAAGGGAGGUGGGUGCAAUGGCCAGAUAAAAUGAAAUUGGUUUAGACAUAAAAAACAAUAAUCUUGUUUUUCAAGUUAUUAAAUUUUGUGGCUUGUUUUUUCUUUCUUUCUUUUUUUUUUUUAUAAAAAAAAAGAAAACAAAAAAAAAAUCUAUUUUUCGUUCUAGUGAACAUAUCUGAAAAAAUUAUAAGGAAAAACUGAUUGAAUGCAAAUUUAAUAGGCUUAUCAAGAGAAACCAAAAAUCAUUCCUCAACACCACCGUAGCAAAACCUAGCCAUCAAGUGCCCACCUGUACUAACACCGCUACCAAGAUGCUUCCAAGAACACCAAGAAAAACCAUUUUUGGAGACCCACACGCUAUGAAAUGCGACAGGGCUCACAAGCCUGUUUUUUUUUUUUUUCUCCCUUCGUUGAUUUUGGUCCUUGAUUGUAUCUUGAGUCCUAAAUUUCAUCCCCCUUGGAUCCAAACCCUUUUCUUUCUAUUAAGUCUCUAAUUAUCUAAUAAAUUUUCAAUUUAGACUCAAAUACAAUCCAAUGUAAGGAUAAUUGAAGGCACAAUCGGGGAGACAUAAAGGGAAUGAGAAAGAAAAUGAUAGUUGACUAAGUAUUCUGAUCGUGCCCACGAUCCAAAUUAUGAUUUAGCUCAACGCAGGUUGGCUAAGGGUGCUUUUAUAUGUUUUUGCCUCAAAAUUAAACAAAAAAUAUGCCAUGUUGAUUCUUUUUUUUUUAAAGCCAAGCCACUUUUCAUUAGUCAUCUUGGUUGCUUUUGACUAAUCAAAUUGAUUUGGUCAUGUCAUGAUAACUCUCACCCGAUUAGUUUGAAGUUUGGGCUAUGAAAAUCAUCGGGUUGAGAUGGUUCAUGUACCCUGCUUUUAAUAUAUUUUCACAAUAAACAUUCAAGAUUGAUUUAUAAAAAACAGUAAUUUUUUUUUAUCUCAACAAGUCAUGUUUCAAUUGUUGUUAAUCAUUUAAGAUUGAUAUAUCCUCUACUGAAGUUUUUGUCAAAAUUUCUGCAGAUUUUUCUUUAUAUAUGGGGUGUCAUAAUCCAAUGUUGGGUUUCCCAAAAAAAAAUCAUUCCUUUUCUUUUUAAAAAAUAAAAAAUGAAAAAGGAGCAACAAUUUGAUUAGCAAAGAUAAGUUAAAGGAAUUUGGGUGCAAAAUUGGAAGCUCAGUCGCACUCUUGAAGGACCCGAAUGUGAAGAACAAUGUGAGCCAUCAAAUUUGAUCACGACUUGAUCCAUGCACUAAUUGAGCAAUGGAUACGUGAGAUACACACAUUCCAUCUUAGGCAUGGGGAGAUGACACCGAUACUAUAGGACAUUGCAAUUUUGUUUGAACUUCCUAUUGAUGGACAAGUAGUCACAUCUACUAGCGUGCAUAAUCAAAUUGCAUUGUGUAAGCAUGUAUUUAGAGUGGCACCCUCUCCUUCUAAAAAUUGAAGAGGGUGACAUGCGUCUUAAAUGGAAUAAUUAAUAAGAUAUUUACCACACUACUAGAUGAUUAUAACGACGAGGUCUUGCAGAGAUAUCUAUUAAAUUAUGAUUUGAAUGUGUUGAUUAUUUGUUAAGUAUAUGUGAAUUAGUAUGAUAAUUUUAAUGUGUUAUUUAGGUAUGCUAGGUCAUAUAUAUUACAUCUAUUUGACAGUGUAUUAUUAUUUACAGACUUUCACGGAGAGAUAUAUGCUUUUAAUUUAUAUAACGUUUCUGAAUGAUUUUAAUGUCAUUCCUACCUAUAACUGGGAAUCUUUUCUAUUGGCAUGUUUGUACAUACAUUAAUGUCUUGCAUGCAUGAAAGGGGGCCAAAUAGGUUGGGGGAUGUUUUCUACUUCUAUAUGUAUGAAUCAAAGAAUUUAAAAUAACUAUUUAAAUUUUAAAUAUUUGUUGUUAACAUAAAAUAAAUAACUCAUUUUUUUUUAAUUUAAUAACAAUUAUAGCCUUGGGAGCAUCUUCAUGUGGAUCGGUUCUAAAUGCCUAGAUUGCCACUUAUGACUGUUCAAACUAUAGGGGUAACACUUUAGCUCCCACUAUGAUGCAUGUAUUGCAAUGUUAUUUUGCAAUUAUAUGCAUUUAUGUUGUCUAAUUGUAACUUUAAAAAUACAAUUAAACUGACAUAUUUAUAAUGUUAGGUGGUGUGUUAGUAGAGUAUUUGAUAAUAAUCUAACACAUGUGUUGUUAUUUUAUCAUAAUAAGCUAGAUAGGCAGUAGCCUAUCCAGAUUUUUUUUGAACCAUUUGUUAAAAAAAAAAACUUAACUUCACCAAAUUAUUAUUGUUUAAUAUUUAAGAAAUUUAUUUUUUACAGGUCAUGUGAACGCCUUAUGUAUAAGUAGUAGUCUAUCUAGGUAUUUUUUUGAACCAUUUAUUAAAGAAAAAACUUAACUUCACCAAAUUAUUGUUGUUUAAUAUUUAAGAAAUUUAUCUUUUACAGAUCAUGUGGACGUCUUAUGAAUAUUAAAGACUGGCAGUUGCUUCGAUUAUUUGCACUCGCGAGAUGAAUAUAUGAACAUUGGUGGUCCUAUUUUUUUUUUGAGAUGGUUGUGCUACAUUGCCCAGAUCUGGUAAUGCGAUAAUUCGACUACAAAUAGCACAUUCCGGUCAAAAUCAAUACAAGUAAUGCAUUGCACGCCAUUAAUCAUCAGGGUAGAAACAAUAAUUACGACUGGCUAAGCCGUCAUGAAGCUUAUAUAUUACAAUAGGAUGCAUAGAGUAAUGAAAUAUUUACAGAGAUGCAUCUUGUGAUUAUAGAGAAGGAAUAUAUAAUUUGGUAUAUGAGUAUCACACAUCGGGUCAUUACACCGGAUCCCAGGUAGGUUCCUCCACCUACAUACAUAUAAUACGAGCAACAUGUUCAACGGAUUCAAAAUACUAUAAGUAAUCGAAUCUUUUUAGAAUUAAUAUAUGUUAAAAAGUUUAUUUUAUUUAUUGGUCUUUUAAUUUCACAUUAAUAUUUUAUCAAUAUUAGGUUGGCUUGUUUCCAUGAGAGGGUCGAGAGGCCAUAUCUGUGCUUUGUAAUAAUGAUGAAGAACACAGAGUAUAUGCCUAUGCAUCUUAGUGGUUCAAUGUUUGCCGCAAUGAACUUAAUAACUUUGAAGAGAGUUUAACUCUAAAGGAUAUGGUGAUGCAAAAUGAGGUCACUUAAGCAGGAGCAAGAGUAGAAUGUAGUCGUGCUAUUGAUGAACUCGAACUAUCUAGUAAAUGACAUAGACGUAGUUAGAUAGAUGAGUUAUGUUAACAUAUUUCAGGAUUUCAAUUGCUAGAACAUAUAUAUUUAAAUAUUUCAUAUUUCUUUUGCGUGUGUGUGUGUAUAUAUAUAUAUGUUUAUUUAUUUACAAAGAUUACAUGUAAUUAUAAAAUGUGAAAAUUUAUUGUGUUUAGUUAUUAUAAUUUUUUGCGGGUAUUUUUAAACAAGAUAAAAAUUUGAGAAUAAUUUUUAAAUAAAAAAAACUCUUAUCUAAUUUUUUUUUUGGGUUAAAUUUAUAGAAUUUUGUUACUGAAUUUUCUUGUUGUUGGAUUUAAUGGUUGGUAUACUAUCGUAUUUCUGAACCAAUAUGCACUUCAAUCGAUUCCUAUCUCCCUAGGGGGUACUCCCUUUUAAGCUUUAUAGAAUCCAGUCUCGUUACUAGGUGAAGUACGGUAGCAAGUCAUAUCAAUCUCCUCACACAACAGUCAAUUAAUCGUUAUGGUUUUAGAGAAUCUAACCCUGUAAAUUAAGAGACAAAAAUCGUCUCAUGAUCUCAUCGCUUCACGCCUGGUCCAGGUGUGGGAUUGUUCCCAUCUAAUAGCUAGCCCAGCCCUUCCGACAAAGAGUAGUAAGGCCUUCUCCUAGUGUCCAUGCUAAGCCACCAGGACGUCAGCCUAGCUACCAUGGAAAGCAUCAUAAGAAGAAGAUGUUAAUGACGAUAGAUGCAUUCGCCAUAGUUUUAGCAUUACGGCAAACCUGUGUCAAAUCUAGCCAGCACUGAAUCCUAUUUCGGCUAUUACUUCUCCAUUACUAUGCUCUCAUAAAACCGCACCAAUCACAGCUUCUUCGAAAAGACGUGUGAAAAGCGUCUCGACGCCUAAUCGAUAGCAGCUUGUACACAGAUUCCGAUAACAAUGGUGUAAUUCCUCCUCUAAGAACUGAUUCAAUGGCAUCGCUUACUCAUUCAAAUGCAAACAAGCCCUAUGCUUUACACAUGCUCUUCAAUGUGUCCUAGCUUGAAGGUAAUUUCUUACUUAUCAGAACAAGAAUACGCGGCGUCGAAAAAAAGAAAAAGAAAGGAAGAAUAGAGUCCAGAUUGGAAUGGGAUAUGGAUGGUUGCUAUAUAUCUAUAUGGAUUGACUCUCUCUCGAGGUUAUAAAGUUGCUGUGUUGUAGCGGACCCCUCUUUCCCUAGCUUUGCACACAAAACUGCCAUCGUUCUCCUCAGUGCUCUUGCCAUUUUUCAAAGGGUUCUCCCACAGGAUCGGUGAUUUUCAUGACUGUCCUGAUUCACCCUUACGGAAUGGCGCUCACUUCGGAUUAAUUACGCCCGUUGAGAUGUGUUAAAAAUACUGUAAACUGAUUAAAAAAUAUUCUUCUUUCACGUACUGUUUAGGCCGAAUACAUGCUCCUACCCUCUUCAGACUCAUUUUAUGGUGUCAUGUCAUGUGUCCUUACGUUUUAAAACUCUGAAAGCAAAACGAAAAAAAAAAAAAUCCAGGGCUGCUAUUUGAUAUUAUUUUUUAAAAUAUUAUUUUGUUUAAAAAUAUAUUAAAGUAAUAUUUUUAAAAUUUUAUUUUUAACAUUAACAAAAUACAAACAAAAAAAAUAAUUUUAAAAAAUAACAAAAUUUUAAUUCACCAAACAAUCCCUAAAUAUCCUAGGUUUAAUAGGACGAAUAAACAGAACCAUGACAAAUUAAAAGGGUAUUUAAGAAUAUUUUAAUGAUUGUUUUUCAAAGUGUAUUUUACUAAAAAAAUAUAUCAAAAUAAUAUUUUUUAUUUUUUAAAAAUUAUUUUUCACAUCAAUACAUUAAAAUAAUCUAAAAACACAAAAAAAAAAUUAAUUUAAAAUAAAUAAAUAAAUUUUCAAAUUUAUUAAAAAACAUUUACAUUUUAUAAACAAUGCUCCAAGAAUGAAAGUUUUUCUCCCAGCUUGAAAAGAGGGGUAAAAAACACUUGUCCACACCACGGCCAGGGCAUACACUGAUACAGUUUUCAUCCCUUCAUCCAUUAUUUGCUUAACACAGCAAGAAUAGAACUCAAAACCAAGUUACCAACCCUCUUUUUUAACGCCACUAAAUAAAAUAUACAUUAGCAUAAUAUAUUAUUAGAGUAUUCGAUGCAGUAGUUCCUGCACGGGGUAUCAUCACAAUUCACAAAGCUAGGCGUUCCGCUGUGCAAGACCAUCUCACUCGAAUACCUACUCCUAAAUAGUUCACCUGAAAAAGAGAUUCCCUACCAACCUUUUAUGACAAGCAGAUUCUUUGACAAAAAGGAAAAAAAAAAUCAAAAGAGAUGAUCACAAAUCAUUCUUCAUGCGCGCAGCAUAUUGCUAACAAAUUCCAUACAUUUUAAAUUACAACUAUGGCUGAUUUUUCUGACAUUUUUAAUGAUUGGAUCGAGAUGAAAAAAAAUAAGAUAGAAAAAAAAAUUAGAAAAAGAAUAAUAUCCUCGAGCACUUCCCUCGCCUGCCAUCCAUCCAUUUUUCGCAUGGACCAUGACCGUCUGACCCAGAGAAAUCAGUUAAACAGUGAUCAUAUCCUCCCCCCCUCUCUGUGCUGCCACAUCAGCCAGUCUCUUCCAUGUCAAUUCUCGCUGCUCUUCCACAUCUCUGGCCCUAGACUCUUUCUCUGCAUACUGCCUCUGACACACUUCAAAUAACUCCGUAUCCAUGUCUAAGAACAUUUUCCGAAUAUUAACAGAUAGUCCAUGAACUGCCUGGUUCCAGUGACUCUGGAUAUUCUUUUCCAACGCCUCAAAUAUAAUUGGUAAUACGACAGUUCGAUUCUGGGCAAUUAAAUCCACUAUGUGCUCAUUAUUCCACAAAAAAAGAGCUCGUUCAGCAACCUGCCAACAGAAAUUUACCUGAGCAAAGACUUCUAAAAUAAAAUACGCUAUUGCUAUUCCAAUAAAGUGACUAAAAUCAAUGUCAAGUACAUGUGUGGAGAGUAUCUGACAGGCUUCUCAACAAUUACAGAAGGCCAUCUGGAAAAAGAAAGAAGGCAAGCCAAAUAGAUGGGAACAAAUCUUGUGGCAACAAGGUCAAUUGCAGUACAGCUCAAAGAAUCCUUGACAAAAUGAAAGUUGAGGUUUAGUCUCAUGCAUCCACCACAUAACUUUGAUUUUACACUUUUUUUUUUAAAAAAAAAAAUGAAACUGGGUAAAUGGUUCUCAACCACAAACCAAAUUUCCAGCAGCAAUAUACAAAUAUGCAUUACUGAAUCAGCAGGUGCAAUCACCCUUGCUAAUUAUCUGGAACCUUUAAAGAGUCCAAGUGAAUGAUUUCACCACUAAAAUACAACAACCAAACAUUGGUUUAAAUAUCAAAUCCCAUGUGUAAUUUGGAAAUUAAAAACAAUAAAUUUUGGCAAACUAACUUUUUUUUUUUGCUUUUAUUGACAAACUAUUUUUGUUUUUUGGCUAAAAGAAAAUUCUGAAAAUGAACACAAGAACAAUCAAAAAGUGAAUUCAGACAGAAAAAGAAACAUGAUAUCAAAGGAAAUUAAGAAGCAACCCUGUGCGCUCCCAUCAGGGAAACACCAUAGCUACAAAUCAACAACUACCAUCGAUUGACUUCAUGAAGAAUUAAUCCCAAAGAAUAAAAUAUCUUGAACACACAGGAUCUUAAAAUACAAUUAUGGUGAAGCAAUAACUCGUGACUCAGCAAAUUCUCAAGAAACACUAGAACUGACCUAAAACUUCUACAAACGAGAAGCUUUCAAAAAAAAAAAAUUGAAACGAAAAGUUGAGAGUGGGAAGAUAGCAGCUCCAAAAUAAAACUUUUUUGGUUUUCACUUUCAUUAAUCAUGGCUAGCAGAUCGAAGGUGGAAAUCUUGUAAGCAAGAAGAGACAAAAAUGGACAACAGUCAUAAGCAUCAAGCAGCAUUCACUGCAAGAGAAUACAUGACAAAAAUGAUUUUUGCAACUCAGAUUUCAGAAACACACUAAGAGCAAGUGCUGAGAUGGAAGAAUAAGAACUUUAAAACUGCAGUUGAUGACCUUACAACAGAACUAGCUUUUGAUCCAAUUCAGUUCAGAAGAAACAGGAACAACAACACGCAACCUCAUGGGUACAGUUAGUAAUCACAUUAACCCACAUAUUUCCUUUUUUAAAAUUAAAUAAAUAAAAUUGUCAAGUCUACUUUCUCCAUGAUUGCAAGGGAAACAAGAAAGGGAUAAACCUAGUAUGAUCAUGAAAGGCAACUGGAGUUUAGAACAGUUGCAAAUAAUUCAUGGACAGUAAGAAGAACACACAUGGGCAAAGAAUACCACAGCCAUUAGAUAAAAUGAAGAAGAAAGUUUCCCAUGGAAAAUAAAAGGUAAAAGCUUCUGAUUUGUCCUUUCANNNNNNNNNNNNNNNNNNNNNNNNNNNNNNNNNNNNNNNNNNNNNNNNNNNNNNNNNNNNNNNNNNNNNNNNNNNNNNNNNNNNNNNNNNNNNNNNNNNNNNNNNNNNNNNNNNNNNNNNNNNNNNNNNNNNNNNNNNNNNNNNNNNNNNNNNNNNNNNNNNNNNNNNNNNNNNNNNNNNNNNNNNNNNNNNNNNNNNNNNNNNNNNNNNNNNNNNNNNNNNNNNNNNNNNNNNNNNNNNNNNNNNNNNNNCAAGGGAAACAAGAAAGGGAUAAACCUAGUAUGAUCAUGAAAGGCAACUGGAGUUUAGAACAGUUGCAAAUAAUUCAUGGACAGUAAGAAGAACACACAUGGGCAAAGAAUACCACAGCCAUUAGAUAAAAUGAAGAAGAAAGUUUCCCAUGGAAAAUAAAAGGUAAAAGCUUCUGAUUUGUCCUUUCAAAUAGAAUGUAAGUAAUAUUACUAACAUUAAACACCUCACUAGCGACAUAAAAAUAAUAAGACAAUGGCGGGUCCAUGAUCAAGUUUCUAUAUGGGGAAAAGCAGUAGCCAACAAAGUGGAUUGCCAGUAAAUCUAGGUAUAAUACUGAUUCACCAAAGACCAGCAAAUGUUAUGACUGACAAGGGUACAAAUUAUAUGUAUAAUGCGAAAGUGAAAAUGUAGCAAGGAGAGGAAUUUUGCACGCAGAAAGAAACAAAAAAUAUAAAUAAAAAAGAAUAAGAAUAAAAGUUCAUCAUACACACAGAACAAGCAAUAGAUACAUCAUAAAAAAAACCAUUUAUCUCAAACAACCAAUGAAUUGCUCUCUUGGAAACAAAUGCACAUUUACCAUUUGGAAACACAUCCAAAGGCACGUUUGUACUAACUUAUCAAAAUUUAUAACAAAUAAAGUUUACGAGCUUAGCAAGUUGUAACAAUCACAAACCUGAAAAUGGGAGCUGGUAAGGCAACGUGCAAUCUGUCUUAAAAGAGGGACCAUACAACGCUGAAACUCUGCAGACUGUGUUGCCUCCAGCACUUCUUCAAGUUCUCCAAGGAAGAGAACUUCCUUUUGACAAUUAGUCACUGGCCAAUACUUCAAGAAACCCCUAAUAACCGUAUCAGCCAGCUUGUAAUCCUUUUCAACAAAUUGAAUGAUGCAAUAUGACAGCUGGUGGUGGUACACAGAUAUCUGCUUUGGUUUAUGCAAUGGUAUAAGCGCCCUUACAAGGAACAACUUAUGUUCCUCUUUCAUUGGCAGCGCAAACCCAUUUAUAAUACUCCCUAGAAUCUCCAACAGUUCCCCAAUCCCACUGUGCCUCUCAGUCUCGUAGAUAAACCGAUAGAAAAUAUUAUUUAUAGCCUUCCUAAUAAAAGGACGAUGCACCAUAAACUUGCCAUAAAUCCUAUGAAGAAUAGUCUUCAAAUACUCCCUCUCUCGCGGAUCCUCAGAAUCAAACAAAUCAAGCAACUUCAACACAAACGAAUGAUCAACAUACCUCUUGGCAACCUUGGUGUCUGUAUCGGACAUCACAACAUAUCUUAAAAGAAGCUCAUAAACAAGCUGCAAAUGAGGCCAAGAUGGUUCCAAAUAAGGCUCCUCCUCUUCAGGAUCAGUGGGUUCUUGCCCUGUAUUUUCAUGCGGAGGCAAGCACCGGAAUAUAUUCACUGAAACCAUUUUUAUCAUUUCCUCUUGACAAUUCUCAGUAAUCUUUCCCGAACCCGAUUGAAUAAAAUCCACAAGCUCCAAUAAAGUUUGCCUCUUGAUUUCCUUCUCUCGCAUCGAUUUUAAGGUAUCCGUAAAGUCAAAAUGGAAGCAGCAUAGCUGGAGUUUCCGUAAGAACAGGUUCGGACGUUCAGAAACCGGCACAUCCCGGAAGAAAGGGAGAGGCUCCACCGUGUUCAUUGGCGGCGGAGUAAUGACUGUAGGCCCAUAGCGUGGGCUUGGAGGGCCAGGAGCAGCCCGGGACGAAUGGUUAACCACCACAUUGUUUGCGGGACCAGACCCGGAGUUCGGUGGUGGCCCGAACCCGAAAUCAUUAUCGUCUGAUUUAGAGGGCUUCCGAUGCCCUCCUUUCAUGAUUUUCCUCAACAUUAGUCAAUUCAAAUAACAGCAACAGACCCUAACCCUAAAAAAAAUUGCGAUUGAUUAAUUAGGGUGGAACAACCAGGCGGUGGUGAUUCAAAAUUUUGAUGGACCAGUGAACAGGGAAUAAUAACCCAUAAGAGUGAAUCAAAUGUUUGAUCCAGUCAUUAAAAAUCAUUUAAGCAACAAGCAAAAAAAGAGGAUUAAUUGUAUCUGAGCUAGGGAUUUGAAAUGAAUUGUACCGGAUUGAGAAACGAACCGCAGAGAGAUUUGACCGGAGGCGAAACCUAAAGAGGAGUCAUUUGAACUGAUGGAUGAAAUGCUGGUCAGUUCAUCGGACGGAGGCGAUUGAUCCGAUAGAGAGACAGCGAGACAGAGAGAUAUGUCUAGAAGAGAGAGGAAGAGUGUGUGAAGACAGUAGAGGAUAAUUAAGAAAACGAAAUAAAAUUAAAGAAGUGACGAAAGAAUCAUACUAUCAUAGUAUCAGUAUGGACGGAUUUUAUUACAUAUUAUUUGGCAACUAAUUAAUAAAAAGGAAACCUCUUUAUAUCUGUUAUAUAUAUAUAUAUAUAAAAGGGGACAAGAGCAGUGUAGUUGGUUGUUAUAAACGUGGCUUAUAAGCCAAGGGUUGACUGAGUCAGGUAUGGAGCAACUACUGUUUUAUUUUAAAAAACAUUAUUACACUAAAGGUUUUCAAUUUUAAAUAGGAAAUAAAAUUUUGAUAUUCGUAACUUAAUUUAAUUAAUAUUUCUUUAGGUAUGAUUAAUAAAUUUUGACCCAUUUAAAAUGGUAUCAAACAUAGCAUAUAAUAAUGUAAAUGAUAUUUAACAGUGUAAUAAUAAUUGUUUUUUAAAAAUUCAUAUUUUUUUUAAAAAAAUUUGACAUCAUAUUAAAAUAAUAUAAAAACAUAAAAAUAUUCAUUUUUUUUUAUAGAAAAACACAGCUUUAGUGCUUAUCAUCAACGCAUUUGAUAACCAGUAAUGACGCAUCAGUGGUUGAUUUAUUUAGUUUUUAUUUUUAUUUUAUUUUUCAUGAUAUUGUUAAAUUGAAAUUAGAUAUUUGAAAAAAAACUAAUUAAAUUAAGACUUAAAUCAACAAGGGCCUUUUUUUUUUCUUUUUUUUGGGUCACAAGGAUAUCACAGCAGCAAAAAGCUUGGCAUUAACUUGGAAGAGAGCAGAUAUCACAGCAGCAAAAAGCUUGGCAACACCAGCGGUAUCAAUUAAGACUUGGUUCUAUUUAACAAACUGAGCUUACACCAGCGGCCACAAUGGUUAUGUGUUGUGGUGCAAGCUAAAUCCUCCGUUGUUCUUCUUUUUUUUAACUUGAAAUGCUAACAAGAGUCCAAAUCCAACCAAAUAUCAUGUAUUAUGUUAAUCUAUCUAUGAACUGAUGUUGACCAUUGCAGGGGAAGUGGCAUGGUGUCAUUUCUGCAACGAGCUAGCUACUGAUGACCUCCUCUGGCUUCGCACUUUCUCUCCUCUUUUGUAAUUCCAGAUGAACCUGUAACAUUCUCGGCACCCUCGGCUUCAUCUCUGAAUUUCUUAUAGAUAUCACCUUUGUAGAAUUUUCUGGUCCUUAGGGUCAAAAUAAACGAAGCAAAGCUUCCAAACAAUGUCGCUGCAGUAAUUAUUAUAGAAGACAUUCUGUAACACUGCACACCGUUGCAUGUCAAGUCCUCGCCUGCGUUCCUUUUAAGACCCAAGGCCUUCAUUUGCUUUGAUGCUUCUUUAUCAUACAAGUCACCAGCAAUUACCACAUUAAGAAUGUACGAACCAACAGGGCUAGCAACAGCACCAAAAUUGUACAACGUGGAAUAGUACUUGAGGCCAAAAAUCUCAGAUAUGAUGGCAUACAUUAAUGGCCACUGUGCUCCAAAGCAGAACCCGAGGAUUACUGAUGCGAAGUAGAGAGAAUUUGAAGAAGGGAAGGCAAUUAGAAUAUGGCCAGCACAAGUGAAGAGAAGCACAAUCGAAAGCAAUAGAGGACGAGGGAUCUUGUACUUCUUCAGCAAGAUCUCUGAGGCGAAACCAGACACUACUCGACCAAGAUAGUUCCAUAUGCUAACAAGUGACACAAAGGUAGUGAUACUACGACUCGGAUAGCCUAGUGAAUGGCCAAUCUGACCCAAGUUGUCAACUGCAGUUAAUGUGCCUCCAAUGCCACAAGUUGCUGCAAUAAAGAGUACCAACAUGUCAAGGCUGAAAAGUGCUUGCAAUAUGGUGUAGUCUUCGCCCCUUUCUGGUGGCUUGAAAAUGUUUUCAAAGCAAGAAGUUUGCUUCUCUGCAGACGUUGCAGCAGGAUCAGAAGCAUUGGACGGUAAUGAUUCCGGUGGUUGUGUUGAUAGUGGCAAUUCUACUUCUGGUGGAUUUUCGGUCACAAUUUUCACUUGAGAAGGGUCACUGAAAACUACCUUUUUGCUCUUCCAGAUAUCAUAUUCCUCUUUUAUAGCAACAGCUACAGGGAGAAAAAGUAGGAUAAGAACAACAAUAGCACCUCCGAUAUACUCAAUCCUGGUAAACCUGAACUUGUUCUGUAUGAUGAUCAAAAUCAUGAGAAAACCGGCAAGGCCAAGCGAAAUAUAGAGGAGUUGGUAGAAAACUUUGAUCUCAUUUGCUUGGCGAACAAUCUUCAUGAUCCGAAUUGUGCGAAGAAGAAUGAAAGAAACAGCAGCUGGAAGCCAGGCAAUAAGCAAGAUAAAAGCCUUCGAGUCAUCUCCAUAGAAAGCAUGGUAAACUUGAAGCCAGGCAAUAAGCAAGAUAAAAGCCUUCGAGUCAUCUCCAUAGAAAGCAUGGUAAACUUGUGUCAUAAUUGCACCACUUAGACCAACAAACCCCUUCAACAAGCCUAAAACACUUCCUCUGCUUUCUGGGAAGUUCUUGACGCAGGUGACUAAAGCUCCAGUAGUGGCAAAUGUCUGUGAGUUUGCCCCAAUACAAAUAUAAAGACACAUCUGCCAAACUUUUGGCUUGGCAAUUUUGCCAGUAAUAGCAAGCCAAAUCAUGAAAUAACCGAAGAAAUUCAUGACCACUCCUGCAGAUAGAAUCACCCAUGGAGGUGAAACUUCAUUGAUGACCCCUGGCAGGAGUCCAACAUUUCCACCCACGUCCUUGAAGAAGCUUAGCAAAUUGAGCGUGGAUUGGUCAUAGCCUAACGACCUCUUGAUAUCAGUAGAGUAUAGACUAAACAUGUAGGUGGCACCAGACAUGGCCAUGAUCAAGAAUGAGGCAAAGACCAUGAACCACCGCCCCAAAAGAACUUGCAAGCCGAAUCUCUUCAUCUCUCUCCAACCACCACCACCACCACCACCAUCACUACUUCUAAAAUCAGCCCCCGCCAUUUGAAGAAAAAAACCUUUUUAGCUUGCUAUCUCUACCAAUGUUACAAUGUUAUUACUAAGGUUAUGAGGGAAUUAGUAGAGCUUAUAUAGUGAAGUGACAGUGAAAGUUUUGGUGGACAAAAGUUAGGUCUGAAGCCUGAACAAAGGAAUUUCAUAUUUACUUGGAAGUUGACCAGCACACUCGCUGUCUGGGAUUGCAGCUCAAACGAAAAUCGAUCAAAAUUUAAAUUUCUUUUAUAUAUUACGAAUGAUUUUUUUUAAAAAAUAUAUUAUUUUAAUAUGUUUCUAAAUAAAAAAUGCUUUAAAAAAUAAUUUUUAUCACAAAUUACGCACCCUUUAAAGAUGACAAAUAGAUAGGAGUUGGGUUUUUUGUAUUUUUGUAGCCUGCUGCGUGUGGAUAAAAACAGCAAAGUUACCAGCUGUUCAGGAUUCAAAUGGAGGUGGUUCAAAAAGUUGAAUUGAAACGCUCUAGCUGCCGGGGAAAUCUGUCGUUUCCAGAGAAAAGUGUAUGACAUGAGGUAUCCCAAGUUUUCUGAUUAGUUUUGAGCUCAUUAGCUGCGUCAUGCUGCCGACCUUAGCAUGAAACUGUACAUAUCUAUCUUUGAAAACUAAGCUGCUUACGCCAUACAUUUAAGAGCGUGCAAUUUCUUUCGGGAGCUUGCCUAAAACAGAGUAUUGAAACAAGUGGAAAUUAGUCAUCAAUUCGCCCAAGUAAAUAUAUACGUGGAGGUGAUGAUGGGUUCGAAUUAAGCAGUCAAUGGUCAUCUACCUCGUGUACAAGUUUGAAAGGAUAGCUGUGCCAUCAGCAAAACAUCUCCACGAUGAUUUCAUGGGAAUCAACUUCUAAUUGAAGUUCUUUCAACACUCGUAUUCCAAGCCUACUCUUAUCCAAUUUCAACAGCCGUCAGUUCAGUACAAUGUGUUAUCCAAGUAUGAUGUAGAGGAGACCAUGUUGAGAUUUUUUAUUUUAUUUCAUGUGUAUGUAUUUAGAGUUAAUUUUUUAAUUAUUAAGUUCAUGAUUUCACUAUAUAAUUAAUUUUUAAAUNNNNNNNNNNNNNNNNNNNNNNNNNNNNNNNNNNNNNNNNNNNNNNNNNNNNNNNNNNNNNNNNNNNNNNNNNNNNNNNNNNNNNNNNNNNNNNNNNNNNUCUCACUCUCCCGUUGCAGCGAGCUCUGCUUAAUGAACGUUUAAUUGUGAUUGAUGAGCAUCUUCAUUUCAUCGUCUAUAUGUUGGAAAUCCUUUUAUGUUUUAUUAUAACAUGAAAGAUGAUUAUUACAAAUAUUAUAAUUGUCUUUAGUUGCGAGCUUAGAUUGACCAUUAUAAUAAUUUAAUGAUAAUAAUGCCUUUCAGCAUGAAGAAUUAUUCAAAAAAAAUCUACAUAGAUCUCUCACGAGAAUACAAGAUUCAUAAAAAGCAUAGUUAGAAGAUGUGCAAGUUGAAGAUAUUAUUACGUGGAUUGAAACAAUUAUAAAGAGCAUGGUUUAAAAGGUUAACAAAAUUUAUUAUAGCCAUUAAUGAUAUGUUUAAAUUAGAUUAAGUUUCAACAUGUUUUAUAUAAAAAUUAUAUAAACAAACAUAUGAAAUUAAAUGAAAAAAUUCAUCAACAAGUCCAGGAAACAAAAUAAGUGAAGACUUGGUUAUUAAGGAUUCAUUUUAAAGCCUAUUAUUAAAUCUUUAUAUCUUACUCAAUAAGCAAACUAAAAUGAACUCACACACUUCACAUUGCAUGCAUAAAUAGAAUUGAUAUACAUUUAAUUGAUUCAAGUUUCACUAGGUAUGAAACUGGCAAAACUAGUUUUUAAGCUGAACCAAUCGACCAAUUUAACUAUUAGAGGCCUUCCAACAACUAUAAACAACUAGUUUCUUUUGGAUGUUUGUGUGUGUGUGUGUGUGUGUACACUUUUAUGCAAAAUAAGAGAGAUUUUGAAUAUACAUGAUAUAAAAUCUAUUCCAAAAGAAAAACCAACUAGAAACCAUCAAUCUUAGCAUACUUAAAGUUGUGCUAAAUUAAAUUUUUCUAUUUUAACACAAGAGUAUAAGAUCUCAUACUAAUUACACUUACACAUCUUUGCCGCAUUCGACAUCGCAACGACUUUUUAAAAAUUCAUUUCAUGAAAAAGAACAGAUUUUAUGACAUCUUGUUCUUAGAUAUAAAAGGUCUUGUUUAAGGAGUCACCACCUAGUAUUAUAGUCAUUAGGAACCCCAACUGGUCAACAAAGAUUUUAUAGUUCGAGACUGGUUACGCAAAAGGAAAUAUAUUAUCACUCAUUAAACGUUUUACCUGAGUUAAUGACGCGGGACAACAAACAAAAGAAAUAAAGCCGGGAAAAGAAAGAAGCCUAGAAGAAGAAGAAAGCCAAAGAAGAGAAGAGAGGAGAGUAAGGAGAUGCAAAAUCUGCAAUUUUCAUUAAUCAUCAAUAAUGUCAUGUCUCAAAAUGAUAGAACAUAUAAAUAGUAAACCUUAGGACAUCCCACUAUUGGGCUCGGCCCAUCAAAUUAAACUGUUUAACAUAAAUAAUAAAAUGACAAUGAGCAGGCCCAAAUGGGCUAAAUAAAUAAAAGUACAAUGAAAUAGGCCCAAAUGGACUUAGGCCUCCAACCAAAGCGUGAUGGGCUGGGCCAUCCCACGUCGCCUCCGUCCAUAUACUCGUGUAGUUUGUGGUGUGGGUCUGGUGUCCCCACCAACUCUCCCGGGGUUAGAGAAACUCGACCCUGUCGAGUGUAAUACUGGCCGACUCUGAUAGUACUCCCAAAGAUCUGGAUCAAGCUGCUGCAAAGUAUCUCUAGUAAUCCAAGUGCAAUCUGAGUCAGGGCGACCCACCCAACGAACUAGAAACCGUUGAACCUCGCCAUUCCUGUUAAAAACAACUUGUUCAUCCAAAAUAGCAUCAAUAUUAUCCUUUUGUGCUGAUGUCAAGGUGAAAGGGAUAGAGGUUUCAAUAGGAUCAUCAAGAGGGGAGUUAAGUGGUAUCUCAAAUGGAUCAUCUGGGAUAGGAAGUGGUUUGUGGUAGGCAACUAGAUCCUCAAUAUUAAAUGUAGAGCUAAUGCCAAAAUCAUGUGGUAAAUCAAGAACAUAAGCAUUUGGACCAAUUCGUUGUAGCACUUUGAAAGGCCCGGCACUGCGCGCAUGUAAUUUUCGAUUAGCUCCCGAAGGAAACCGCUCAGGUCUAACCCGUAUCAUAACAUAGUCUCCCACAUUAAACUCAUUAUGUCGUCUAUGUAAAUCAGCUUGAAGUUUAUAAUGCGCAUUACUUGAUUGAAUCUGUUUAGUGAUCUCAAUAUGCAAAUCCUGAAUUCUACGUGCAAAAGACUCGGCUGACUCAGACACUUUAGCAUGAAGGGACAUAGGAAGAAGGUCUAAAGGUUUCCUAGGCUUGUAACCAUGUACAACUUCAAAGGGACUCAUGCCUAUUGACCUAUUGAUAGAGCUAUUAUAGGCAAACUGGGCCGUAGGAAGAAUCAGAUCCCAAUUCCGAUUAUGAUCAUUCACUAGACACCUUAAAAGGUUGCCCAAACUCCUGUUAACCACCUCAGUUUGACCAUCAGUUUGGGGGUGGUAAGCAGUAGAAAACUUCAAUUUAGUGCCCACCAUAUGCCAAAGGGUUUUCCAGAAAUAGCUUGUGAAUCUAACAUCCCUAUCCGACACUAUGGUUUGAGGAAGACCAUACAACUUGACAAUCUCGUCAAAAUAGAGUUUUGCAACUUUGGAGGCAUCUGUGGUCUUAGUACAAGGAAUAAAAUGGGCCAUCUUAGAGAAGCGGUCGACAACCACAAAAAUAGAAUCAUGUUUCUUCACAGUACGUGGAAGCCCAAGCACAAAAUCCAUGCUCACAUCUUGCCAAGGGCAAGUAGGAACGGGCAAUGGGGUGUAAAGACCAGUAUUUUGUUUCCUAUGCUUAGCGAGUUGGCAAGUUCGACAUUGACCUAUCAAUUUGGCGACAUCUCUCUUCAAGCUAGACCAAAAAAAUUGGCGUUCCACUUCUUCAAUGGUUUUAUUCCUUCCAAAAUGUCCUAAGAGACCUCCAGCAUGAAUCUCCCAUAUCAAAAAGUCACGCACAGAUGUUUUCGGGAUACAAAGCUUAUUAUCCCGAAAUAAGUACCCAUCUUGGAGGUGAUAACCAUUUAUAGCACGAUGACUCUCAUCCUUCAAUGUCAAGUAUAUUUCUCCAAAUUCUGAGCAAGAUUCAUACUCCUCUUUGAGUCUUUCAAAUCCUGUGACUUCAACACUCAUUACGGAUAACAGCGUUACCCGACGACUCAAAGCAUCUGCAGCCUUAUUCUCUAUUCCAGAUUUAUGUUUCAAAACAAAUGAGUAUGCCUGCAAAUAUUCAACCCAAUGACCAUGCCUAUGAUUAAGCUUCUUUUGGGAGUUAAGAUAGCGGAGGGCCUCAUGGUCGGAGUAAAGAACAAACUCCUGUGGUAGCAAGUAAUGGCGCCAAUAACGCAAGGCCUGAACCACCGCAUAAAACUCCUUAUCAUAAGUUGAGUACUUUUGUUUUGCCUCAUUAAGCUUCUCACUAAAGUAGGCUACAGGGUGACGUUCCUGACUAAGUACUCCACCUAUACCGACUCCCGAAGCAUCACAUUCUACUUCAAACACUUUAGUAAAAUCAGGUAGCCGCAUUACUGGGGCCUCCGUCAUUUUCUUCUUAACCUCCUCAAAUGCCCUAUUAGCUCCUUUACUCCACUUAAACUCACCUUGUUUCAAACAAUCUGUAAUAGGUGACAUGAUGGUGCUAAAUCCCUUAAUAAAACGACGAUAGAAAGUCGCAAGCCUAUGAAAACUACGAACCUCAUGAAUAGUCUUAGGCUCAGGCCAAUCUACUAUCGCUUGGACUUUCUGGGGGUCAGCAGAGACUCCUUUCCAUGACACUAUAAACCCUAAAAAGACCACUUGAUCUGUAAAGAAAGAACACUUUUUGACAUUUGCAAACAAACUGGCCUUUCUUAGGGUGGUACAAACUUGGAUAAGAUGAUCGAAAUGUUCUUCCUUGAUUUUGCUAUAAAUAAGAAUAUCAUCAAAGUAUACCACCAAGAACUUUCCCAUAAAUGGCCGAAGCACUUGUGUCAUUACUCUCAUAAAAGUGCUAGGUGCAUUGGAAAGGCCAAAAGGCAUGACUAACCAUUCAUAUAAACCAUCUUUAGUCUUAAAGGCUGUUUUCCAUUCAUCGCCCGGACGGAUCCUAAUCUGAUGAUACCCACUCUUCAAGUCAAUCUUAGAGAAGAGCUGGGCUCCUGCCAUCAUAUCUAGCAUGUCAUCCAAUCGAGGAAUUGGAAAACGAUACUUGAUUGUAAUCCUAUUGAUGGCUCGACUGUCAACACACAUUCUCCACGAUCCAUCUUUCUUGGGUGUUAACAGUGCAGGUACCGCACAAGGGCUCAAACUCUCGCGUAUAAAUCCCUUGUGUAACAACUCACCUAUUUGUCUUUGCAAUUCAGCAUGUUCACUCGGGUUCAUCCUAUAGUGAGGCAAGUUUGGUAGUGUGGCCCCAGGGACAAAAUCUAUGGCAUGUUGAACAUCACGCAUAGGGGGUAAAACAUCAGGUAGUUCAGAAGGGAAAACAUCUAGAAAUUCUUUCAACACUUCUCUUACCUCUUCAGGGGGCUCCUCUAAAAAGUCUUCUACAAUCUCUUUAGCCACUACAGCAAACACAACAGCCUCCUCACAAAUCUCCUUAUCAAACUCCCUAGGACUUAUUAUGUUAAGCCCUCCUUCUCUCACUUUAUUCUUCUUCUGACUAUUAUCAUUAGGCCUUGGAGGUAACCCAAUAAGUUGGAUUUUUUUACCUUGAAAAGUGAAUGAGCAAGAAUUUGAUCGUCCAAAGAUUGUAACGUCCAAAUCAUACAACCAAGGCCUACCCAAAAUGACGUGCCCUACGUCCAUGGGGAUGACAUCACACCAAAUUUCAUCAUGAUAAUCAAAAAUCUUAAUGGGAAAAAGACAUCUCUCUUUGACCGCUAUAGCUGUAUCAUUAACCCAAGACACACUAUAGGGUUUAGGGUGUGGAACAGACUUUAAGCCCAAGCGGGAUACACUACUCAAGGAAACUGCAUUGAUACAACUACCACUGUCUAUGAUGAUCUUACACCCUUUAUCUCCACAUUUAAUGUAAGUGUAAAAAAUAGCAGUCCUUCUCCAAUCCUCAGUUCCUUUAGGUUGUGUUAAAGCACAUCUAACCACACCUAACCUAGUUGUCUUGAUUUGAGUGGAUAUAGACCUAACACAACCUAGUAAGUUAGACUCAUCAUCCUCGUCAUUUAGAUCUUGAAAAUCAUCGGGAUUGGGCUCAUAUAUCUUAUCAUCACAGUUAUCUUCUUCGCCCAUAGCCUCUUGCUCUUUGAUGAACAAAGUCUUAUUAGGGCAGCUAGAGGAGAUAUGGCCAAAACCCUAACACUUCAAACACUGAAUUCUGGAAGUUUUAGGUGCUUCAUGAAAAAUACCCUUACCCUUGUCUUCUUUAGGUAUUUGGGAAAUCAAAGGAUUGGGCUUACGAGGUGGGGCACCUAAUAUGGAGUUAUUACUACCAGGUUGAGACCUAUAAGGGGUAUUACGAGUGUCCUGACGUCUUGUCCACUGACUUUUUGUGACCAAGUCAUAAUUUUGUACUAAGGUAUAAGCCUCGUCAAGGGUGGAAACACCCCUAAGCACGAGCUCUCUCCUAAGGUCAUCAUUUAAACCUUUUCGAAAUCUACUCAGAGUCAUCACUUCAUCCUCCCUAACUGCACACUUCAUCCUAUACUCGUCAAAUUGUGCCACAUAGUCAUUAGCAGACUUGCCUCCUUGCCUCAAGUUAUUCCACUGGUCCAAAAGAUUUCCUCUAUAAGAACGAGGCAAGUACUUUUCUUCUAAUUUAGUCUUCAUUUCAACCCAGUCAGUAAUAGGGGGUUGACCUCUCCUAUUCAAAGACUCUUCUACACUUUCCCAAUAGAGCUGAGCGGUCCCACUAAGUUUCAUCUUCGCAAAUCUUACCCUUCUAUUCUCAGACAGAUUAUACCAGCUAAAGAAUUGAUCCAUGUCACGGAUCCAUCUAUCAAAAAUCCACGGGUCAAGUUGACCCUCAAAAGUUGGGGCUUCCACCUUGAUGUGCCUCAUGACGCGCUCAUCAGGGUCAUCAUAGUCUUGAUGGCCCUGAUUGCGGUUGUAUUGACGGUUCCUAGGAUGAGCUGGUCUUUGACGAUAAUCAUUGGAACGCUCACUAUCCUGAGGGUCAUGAAAGUCAUUGUGGCCCUGGUGUUGGUUAUGGUGGCGGUUCCUACGAAGAACUGGUCUUUGAGGAUUUCUAUGGUUGUCACUAGAAUGCUCACUCUCACUAGACGGUCUUAUUUGUAAAGUUUCUAUGGACUCCACCCUCCCAGAAAGGUUGUUCAUUUGAUUGGACAAGUUGCUCAUUUCCGUUCGCAUAAGUUGUAAUUGUUCUUGAAUAUCUCUAAGAACAUUACUGGAGUUCGGGUCCAUGGUAGUUGUGACUUCUAGAUUGUGUACUAGACGACCACUACGUAAAUGCAUGCAAAACUAAUCCUAAAACUGAGAUCACCAACUAACACUUGCAAGUAAAACGCAAAAUAAAAUUAUAGCUAGUACCAUAGAAAAUAAAAAAAUAAAAAGAAAAAUAAAAUAAAAAUAAAAAUAAAAAUUAGAAUAAAGAAAAUAAUUUUUUUUUUAUUUUUUUUUAAUUAACUUGGAGACUAAGUAAUGACAGAUUAAACCAGAAAAAUGCGCAAGCAAGCAGUGUAAGUCCUCUAAAUGCACACAAAUAAUCCCAACACAAUGUUUCAGUUUUCCCACUAAUUUACUCAAGCUCCACAAUUAAUCAAGAGGAUCAAAUCUUCAAUGCUAAACCAGCUCAAAAUUAAGGUAAUUUAAUUUAGUUAUGGGCAAGCACAAAAAAUAAUAUUAAUGCUAAAUCUUGGUUAACAAGUGUUAAAAAAAACAUACCAGGAAUGAUGAUUUUCAAUGGGUAAAAAUUCUGACCGUAUGAUGUGGCAGCGAAGGAUUACGUGGCAGCUGACGUGGCAGGAUAUACUGAUGGGGCAGAUGAUGUGGCAGGGGAAGCUGACGUGGUAGAGAUAAUGACGUGGCAGCGACGUGGCAAGAUCUGCUGACGUGUCAGGUGACACUGAUGCUGACGUGGCGCUGACGUGUCUAGGUUAAUUAUAUUCUCAGCUGUGGUUUUCUUUCUUUCUUCCUUGCUUCCCUAGCUUCUGUGACCCGUUGCCGCCGCUGUCGGUGAUGGCUCGCUCCGUGUUCUUGCUUGGGGCCAGCGGCGCGAGGGGAGGAGGUGGUGGUGUCUGGUGUUGCUGCUGGGCGGGGCUGUUGAUCCGGUGUCGCUGCUGGGCGUGGGUUGCUGCCGAAGGUGAGGGCGCUGUGGAUGGUGGGUCGCCGCUGGUGCUGUUGCUGGGGUGCGAUUGAUGGCGUUGCUGGUUAGCAACGCUGGAACCGACGACAGAGAGCUACGGUGGCUGCGGCGCUGCGGGUUGUUGAAGGCAGUAACUCGGCGUGGGCUUGCGAUCGAUGGCUGUGAUCGGUGUUGAGGACGACACUGGCGGAGGCGCUGCCUUUGCUGCUGUAAACCCGAACCGAUGUUGGCUGUGAUGGGUGUUGUGGGUAGCGGCGUCCAGUUUGAUGAUGGAGACGAUGAACAGUGUACAGUGAACAGUAGCUUCUUCUAAUCAGAACAAUAGGAUUUUUUUUUGUUUUUUUUUUUGUUGGAUCGUUUAAUUGUAAGAACAAUUAAAAGCCAUGCUCUGAUACCAAAUUUGACGCGGGACAACAAACAAAAGAAAUAAAGCCGGGAGAAGAAAGAAGCCUAGAAGAAGAAGAAAGCCAAAGAAGAGAAGAGAGGAGAGUAAGGAGAUGCAAAAUCUGCAAUUUUCAUUAAUCAUCAAUAAUGUCAUGUCUCAAAAUGAUAGAACAUAUAAAUAGUAAACCUUAGGACAUCCCACUAUUGGGCUCGGCCCAUCAAAUUAAACUGUUUAACAUAAAUAAUAAAAUGACAAUGAGCAGGCCCAAAUGGGCUAAAUAAAUAAAAGUACAAUGAAAUAGGCCCAAAUGGACUUAGGCCUCCAACCAAAGCGUGAUGGGCUGGGCCAUCCCACGUCGCCUCCGUCCAUAUACUCGUGUAGUUUGUGGUGUGGGUCUGGUGUCCCCACCAGUUAAGUUGCAUUGUUGGUUUUGUUUUAAAUUGUUAAGGGUUUGUUGUAUUAUACUACUGAUGGCUUGCAUGCAAUAUUUCUAACUCAAGCACCAGUGAAUAUUCAGCUGCGAAUACUUCCAACUCUGGUGUUGGUAAAUAUUACGUAACACAAAAAAAUGGUAUUCCUAACUUUAGCGCCAGUGAAUAAACCAAUAAAAUUUGAAUUGAAAGCAUAUCAUAUAUAUAAUUUUUGUUAUUUCUUUAUAUAUAUAUAUAUAAAAGACAUGUAUGUAUCAUAUACUAUAUUCACAUUUCACAAUCAAAAUCAAAAUCCACAAAUCAAAUAUACAGUGAAAUCAUCGAGGGAAAAAAAGCGCGAGGAACCUACAAAUAAAUUCAAAAGAGUCCACAAUUUUUUUUGAAAUUUUCUAAUAUCAUGAAGGAACUCAUUUAGACAAAUAUCAAAACAAGAAACAAUAAAAUAAAGGGAAUCACAUAAGGGUGUGUUUUACUAAACACACCCAAGACCCAAAACAAAUUGGAGCUGGUUGGACUUGAGGCUUAGGCCUAUUCUCUAUUUUUUUGGGGGUUGGGUAGCCCAACCAUAUAGGCUGGGCUGGAUUCAUCCAGGCUAGCCUAGUUACUGGCCAAAGCUAGUGACCCGGCUAGGCAAAGUAGCACGCAUGCUUGUUGCACAGUCCGAACGUAAUUAAUUACCUUCGCACAAUGUAAUGCAGAUAUAGAAGAAAGCGGGGAAGAGAUGAAAAACUUACCCUGGUCUGGAGGCGAAAGGGAUGAAGACGAUGGCAACGGUGCGAUGACUGUCCAAUGUUCCCUGCUUCUGUUUUUCGUUCACUUCUCAUUUGUUCUCUCUUUUGGUCUCUUUUUUUUUUUGCUUUAUCUUAUUCUCUCUAUUCUUCCUUCCUUGUGUUUUUCUUUCUGUUAGUUUUUUCGUUUUCUCGUUCUCAGUUUUUUGUGUCCCUCCCCUGUGUUUUCUUUGUUAGUUCCUCUGGUUUUCUCUCCUCCCAGUAUCCUCUGUUCGUUCUCUGGUUUUCUCUCUGUUUGCUCAUCUUCUCUCUCCCCUGUUUUUCCCUUCCUUUUCUCCUUCACGUCCCCGUGUUUCUUUUUUAGUCCCCUGUUUCAUUACAGUAACUUUAUAAUGAUCUUUUUCCAAAUGUUGCAUUUAUUAAUAAUAACGGGCGACAAGCAUUGUUGGAUCCAGCAAUUUGCAGAUAAAAAGAGAUAAAGGGUCGAGAAAACCUAUUACCUUUUUUAUGAAUAAUAUAAAUUUUAUAUUGGUAUUUUACUUAAUAAUUUAAAAUUUUAAAUUGAGAUGAUUUUUUGAUAUAAUAUUAGAGUUUUAAUGAUCAAGUGAUCACGAGUUUGAAUUACAUAAUCUCUAUUUAUUUGAUAAAAAAAUAAAUAUCAAAUAAUAUAGAUCUUAGUAAAUUUCAAGUUCAAAGAACUUUCAACUGAAGAGAUAUUUUGAAGAACAAUAUAAAUCAUAUAUUGACUUCACCUUACAUCUUAUUAUUUUUUUAAGUUGAGAUGAUUCUUUAACAUGCAGAAUAUCUAGAUUUGUAUUAAAUGAUCUGGGUUUAGUUUAGGGUUUAGUUUAAGUCGUCCAUUUAAAAAAAAUAUUUUUACUUUUAUCAAUUUAUUUAAUCUUUUGAUAUUCUAAAAUAUUGUUUUUCAAAUAAAAUUAAUGAUUAAAAUGUUUUCUUAAGAACCACACGAUAAUAUCAUACAUUCAACUAAGAUUACAUGUUUGUUAUGUUAAUAAUAUUAGUGGUUAUUUUCAAAUAAUUAAUGAUUUAUGAAGCUGAUGUAUAUAAUUUUUUUUUAAAAAAAAGGAAUAGUCUCUUGAAUAUUCAUUAGUCUUUAUUAAAAAAAAAUGAAAAUUAGUAUUCUUAUUAAAAAAAAAAUAGGGGGAUAACUUAAUUUGACAUUUGAUGAGUAAUUUUUCAAAUUUAAAAACCGUGUGCUUAAAUUUGUCGUCCGGUCUUAAUUAAUGCUGGAGUCCCCUCUCUCUCACAGAAACAGGCAGUAAGUUGCAUGGAAUUUGGACGUCUGCUUUCAAAAUAUUAUUCAAUAGAGAUAGGAUAAAUUACAAGUUGCUGUGCGUUGAUUAUACGAGUGUGUGUGUGUGUGUGUGUGUGUGUGUGUGUGUGUGUGUGUGUGUGUAGUGCAGCCGUGUGUGUGUGUGUGCAGCCGGCUCAAUUGUAUACUUUAUUGUAAUAAUAUUUUACUCAUAUAUAUUAAUUAAUUAAGCCACAUUUAAUUAAGUCCUUAUCGUUGCCCGACUGGAUACUGUUGUCGCGGUACCAGAGGGUCCAGAUUCCAGUUUUCAUGCAUAGUGCAUCUCCUGCCUCCUCCAAUACCUUCUUGAUGCCUUUAUUUAUUUAUUCUAAUUCGAGACAAUUCUCAAUAUUCUACACCUCUAGGAUUUAAAUCAAAGAAGAUUUAAUUUUUUUUUUUAAGGUUUAAUAAAAUCGGAUAUUUAUUUAAAUGAAGCCAAUACAUUUAUUAACCUGAAUUAAUACAUUAAUUAAAUCCUGAAUUGACUAUUUAAUAUGGUGAUUGUCUAAAAAUUAAAUUGAUUAAAGGGGUGCUCAAUAAAACUAUAUAUGAAUAUAAGUUUAUUUAAGCUAUAUAAAUCUUUUGUUUUAGCCUUUAAUGCAAUAAGACUUUAUAUAUAUAAAAAAAAUAGAACAAAUUAACAAUAAAUUUACGAACUACAAAGAAUAAAUUAGGCAUGCAUAUAAAGAAAUAUAAAACAUCAAACUAGCAUGUGAAUAAAAAAAUAUUAAAAAAUUAAAAAAAUAUAUGAAUAAACUAAAUCACUAUUAUUAAUUUGUUGAAGUGCAUAUAAAAUAAUUACAAUAGAAGGGGGUGAUUAUUUCAAGAGCUGCAAGACAAAUUUUGCCCAUCAAUUGAUGUAUACAAUAGACGUGAACAUGGGAUACAGGAUUCAACAAUGAUGUACUAUUUUGUUUUUAUAUCUCAAAAGUAUUUUUAAAAAAAAUUUAAAAUUUUUUAAUUUUUUAUUUGCUUCAAAUUAAUAUGUUUUUAAUGUUUUCAAAUCAUUUUGAUGUACUGAUGUCAAAAAUAAUUUUAAAAAAAUGAAAAAACAUCAUUAAUAUGUAUUUUGGCAUGAAAAGUUAUUUGAAAAGCAACCGCAAACACACUGCUAAAACGGAGUAGAGGAAAAUAAUUUAGAAAUAUUUUUUUGUAUAUUUUUCAAUAAACUAAUAAAAAUGCCUUUGAAAGAGAAAAGGAGUUCUUAUUUUUCAUAAGUAAAAUAAAAGCUAUGUCUUGGAAGAGAAAAGAAAUUAUUUCUUAUCAAUGUGGGACAAAACUUUAUGUUGCAUUUGAUUUUUGGUCAGCUCUACCCAAGGUUUUUUACAUUAAUUUUUUAUUCAUAUUCUAUAAUUAGUAGUUUUGGACAUUUUAAUAUUCUAUAUUAUAGUAGUCAUGCCAGUAAACAUUUUUCAAGAAAAAUCUUAAAAAUCGAUGCAUUUUACUUUUAAUUAGACUUCAAAUAACAAUGUCUUAAAGUCAAUUUUCUCAACAAUACCCGCUCAAAUCGUCAGCAAAUCUUUAUUGAAAGUUCACAUGAUUUUUGUCAUGAUUAAUUUUCAUUAAAUAAAAUAUUCAAUCCAUUUGAAAAAAAAUAAAUAUACAUCAAACAAAGCAAAUCUACAGUAGAAAAUAAUACACAAAUCAUUCCAGAUAUAUAUAUAUAGUUGACCCGAGAUGUCUUUGACUGUAAAAAAAAAAAAAAACACAAAGCGAGUAUAUCUUGGUGCAGGAAAAAUGACCCAAGAUGUCUUUGAUGACAUUUUUGGUUUAACAUGAAUUUCAUGUCAGUGAAGAGAGGUCUACACCAGAACCAUUAUUUAGUCAUUACUUAUGAACCAUCCCUGCCGUAAUUUAAUAAAUGGAAGUUUUAUUUCAGUUUCUCCUUGCAAGGGACAACAAUUGCCGGCUUAUAAUUUGACUUCAAACUUGUCCUUGUUUUGCCCCAAUCACUAUUAAUACUGCCUGCUAAUAACACCAAAGAUAGAGGUCCAAGAGGAAGGUUGCAGCAAUAAUAUCAGCUAUGGAGGAUCCGAAGAGAAUGGAAGAAGGGUUAGGUCACACUGCACUCGUUGCUAAUAUAGAUGAUGAGAACAUCCAUUUAAGUGAGAAAGAAGGUAAAACUGAUGGUGGAGAUGACAAUGAAAAGGAAGAAAGGAGAGCGGUUCAUGAUCAUCUGGCUAAGCAUGAAGGAGACAGGCAGCCGGUGGUUACCCAGAAGAGCAAGAGGGUUGCGACUUUGGAUGCAUUUAGAGGCCUUACUAUCGUAGUAAGUGCUCUUAAUUCUCAAUUUAUUUACUUCUUUUUAUUACAAAGGAAAGGUUCGAGCCCAGAAACUUAAAAAAAAAAAAAGAGUAAUAUUAAAUAAAUAUAUGCAUGAAAGUUAUGAGUUCGGGCGUGUGUAUGAAAUGAGGGUAAUUUUUAGCCUUACACAUGGAGGUGUUGCUGUUUGCUUGUAGCUGAUGAUACUGGUCGAUGAUGCCGGAGGAGUAUAUCCCCGCAUCGAUCAUUCGCCAUGGAAUGGAUGCACCUUGGCUGAUUUUGUGAUGCCAUUUUUCCUUUUCAUUGUCGGAGUUGCAAUAGCACUUGCUUUCAAGGUAUAAACUCCUCUUCGUUUCUUCAUCUUUUUAUAUAUAUAUAUUAUAUAGUUUAUCCAUCAAUCUCUAAGCAUAUUCCGACUUUGUUGGCAGCUGUAUGCUCGAAUCUAUAAUAAAUAUUGAAAGUGGUUGAGUGAUUUUGAGAAUUUGACAUAUGGCUAGAAUAUAACUAAGAUUGAUAGGCUUGAUAACUUGGUAUAUGUCACUGUACUUUCGGUGGGGUUUGUUAAAAGAUGUUUGAAAGUAUGGUAAUGGUUGAUUUUUAAAGUGAUUUUUGCUUAAAAAUAUAUUAAAAUAAUGUUUUUUUAUUUUUAAAAAUUUAUUUUUUAUACCUACAAUACUUUUUUAUAAAGAAUUUUAAAAUAAAAUAAAACAUAAUUAAUUAUGAUAAUUAUUAGAAUUAAUUCUCAUUGUAUAAAUCUUUAAUUACCCGGCCGUUAUAAGAAAAACUUGACAGGUUUUUUUUUCUUAAAAACCAGAUGUUUUUUCCCUUGAAAAUAAACUAGUCGGGUAGAUAAAAGUUUAUAUUCAGAUAACUUAUUCAUUUACUAAAAAAAUAAUUAUUUUGAACCAAAAAAUCAUUUUACACCCAACACAAACCCAACCCGGGAGGAGCCACCACGUAUGGUUGAAGUCCACUUAGCCUGUGACAUUUCUCCUCCAAUAGCUUUAGUGUUAUAAAAAUUCAAUUUUAACUCUUUCAAUUUUUCACUAUAUAAACUAUAAAAUAAUUUUAUAAUCUUUCAUUAUUGAAUUCAGGAUUUUGAAUUUAUAAAAAUAUAUCAUUCAAAAACUCUUUAAAUUAAUUUUUUAUUCACUCAUAAUUAUUUUAAACAUGCUUCAUGUUAAUUUAUUUUUAUUAAAAAAUAAUUUUCAACAAAAUAUAAACCAAAAAAGUGAGUAGAACUAGCAACAUAUUCAUUUUUUUCUCGUCUGAAACAUAUAUUGAAUAAAACUUUGUGUGAUAUGAUUAGUUAAAGAUAAAAAUAAGAUUCAAUUUUACUUAAUAAAUUUUAGUACUUAUUUCCAUCAAGUGAAUUAAGAAAUAAAUACCAUAUAGAAUUCAAACAACUUAAGUUCAUCACUUUGGACUCUAUACAAUAAAAGCAAAUACGAGAAAUGUGUGAUUAAACCUUUCAAAUAUUUCUCUUCAUGUUUCAGUAAGAUUUUUAUUUUAUUUUUUGUAUAUUGUUUUUUUAAUAAAAAAUAACGAUCAAAAUUAUAAUAUACUAUAUUGGUGGUUCACACCAUGUCGCAAGCUAGAUCAAUUUUUUUUCUAGCAAAAAACAAAUUGCUUAAGCGAUGGUAACAUUUUUAAAGAAGCAAGAAAGAUCUGAGAAUCGGGUCUCGAUUUAACUAGAUCCUAUAAGCUCAGUUAUAUUUAUAAUAUAAUAAUAAUAAGACAACGGCAAUAGAUAAAUCGAAUAAAAAAAUUUAGCAAUAAUUAACUAUAAAAAAAUUGCUAAUAUCAUAAAAAGAUAUCCUCUCAAUAUUUUUAAAAUAGCUUCAUGAUCUUAUUUGAUAACAAAACAAAAAUUAAAUGAGAAUGGAAUAACUUCACAAAAUAAAAAGAAAAAAAAAUGAAACUCGAAUCUUAGCAAAUCAAAUGUUGAAGAACGAAAUUGAGAAAAUAAAUCUAAAAAGAACAAAAAAAUAACCCGAGUCGACCCAAGUUAACUCAUCAAAUCCACAACUUGUCUGUGGCACUAGGAUAAUCCUAUAGAAAGCAAAUUAAAUGAAAUAUCAAACCAACACAAUGUUGAAGAGAGAAAUUUAAAAUAAGUUUAAAUUUAAAAAAAAAACUCGAGUCAACCAGAUUUAAUAUGUCAAACCCGUAACCUAGCACAUGAGAUUGGGAAAACCCCAUAGAAAAGAGAAACAAAAGAGAAACAAAUAAUGAAGCCCAGUCUUCAAUAAGCCUGAUAUCAAAGGAUGUAAUUGUAAAAAAAAAAAAAUCAAUUGUAAAAAAGGAUCUAAAAAAAGUUAAGUCAACCCGGACUAACCUUCUAAACCCUUUACCUAGGUCUUGAGGUCGGGAUUAUUUCAUAAAAAGCAAACUUGAAAAAAUCAUGAAACCAAAUAAGAUAUCAUGAAAUAAGCAUCUCAUGCUUAUAUUUAAUCAAUUAAUUUAAUUUAAUUCAAAAACAAAAUCUAAAAGAAGCUAAAUUUAACAAAGAGCGAGAAAUAAAAUUUGCAAAAAAAAUCCUAUAUAAAGCAAAGUAAAUGAGUGUUGAAGGAUGAAACUUGGAAAACAAAAAGAGCUUUAAAAAAAGAGGAAAAACCAAGUAAACCCAACUAAAUCUUCUAAACCUAGACUAAUUUUUUAAACUUACAACCCGUGAAAUCUUAAACCCGAGUUCAAUUAAAAAAACUCAAUUCUCAACCAAUUUAAUGUUGAAGGAUGAUAUUGGAAAAAAAUCAAUUAAUUUUUUUUUUCAAAAUAAAAAAAAUAGCAAUCAAAAGAAUGAGAAUCAAAUAUGAUAGGAAAAAAACUAAAGAAGGAUAAAAUAAUAAAAAUAAUAAUUUUAAAAAUCAUCUAAAAAAAAAAACAAAUAGCAAUCAAAAGAAUGGGAACCAAACAUUAUAGAUGUAAAGAUUAAGGGGGUGAAAUUGAAAAAAAAAAUCUAAUUUUAUAAACUAUUCAAAUAUAAUAAAUAAUAAUCAAAAGAACAAGGACCAAAUCUGAAAGAGAAAAAUAAAGUGCUGCUCUGAAAAAUUGGAGGGUCGGAAGUAAAAAUCAAUGUGGAGAGAGAAGAAUAGGAAAAAAAAGGUUGUUAGUGCCAAACCAAAGGUUAAUAAGUUACACGCACCGCUUAGGGAGAAAAGGUUCACCGAGAGAAUUCCAAAAACAUCAAUGAAUGUCUUUUUUUCAUUGUAAUCCGCUGCACUUGUUGCUUGAAUGUACCAAACGCGCUAGUGCACCAGCUAGUUUUGGUUUUUUAAUCAUAUUUUAUAUUUAUUAAAAUAUUAAGUUUUUCCUUAUUCAACUUGAUUAUAAUUAAAAAAUUAGAAUGAAAAUACAAAAGAAUCCUAAGAUGUCUAUUAAACAAAAAAUGCUUUUAGGACAAAUUAAUCAUUUCACUGUAUUUUUAAAAUGUGAAAAGUUCUACUUUUCUUAGAUCAAUAUGAUAAUGAAUAAUGAAUUUUUUGGAAAGAUCACAUUACCCCGAAUAGGUAGUUCAUUGAAUGUUUUUUUUUUGGAUUGGUCAAAAUGCUAAUUACAUUGUUCCAAUUGCCUAUAAUAUAAACGACAUGUCUUUUUUAUUAUAAAUCCCUUUAUUGUUCACUCUCUCACGAUUAACUAUGGAUUAUAAUGGUGCUUUUUUAAAAUUUUCAUUUUGAUCCUCAAACUUUAACUCUGCACAAUUGAGCUCUUUUGAGCACCCAAUUGCAUUUAUUUUUUUUGUAAAGGAGGGUUAAAUUGAAAGGUAUAGGACUGAAGUGAAAAACUUGGGUAACAUAGGUGAUUUUUUAAAAUUUAUUUGAAAAGUACAUUUUAGCCCCACAUCUUUUUAAUCUAUUAGUUGAUUAGUUCCUUUAAUUUCAAAAAACUUAAUUUCGCUACCAAACUUUAUGUUUAUAAUUUUUCAGUCCUUUUUUGAUAUGAGAAGAGAGAGGCUCGUCGGAUUUCAUUCUAGAAAGAGAAAGUUGUUAGUCCAAUAAUUUCAGCCACCAAAAUGGUUGAUUUUUCUUCCAAAUGGUUCCAUAUGAUAAGAUAAGUUCAAAUUAGGUGUCUUUGGACGUUGAAAGUGCACGAAAAAAGAGAUCCGGGCUCAGGAAUUGUUUUCUAGUUGAUUUUGAGUUGUGAUGCGGUUUAUUUUGUUUUUAGAGGUUAUGGAUUUAUUUAACAAGGUUCCUAUGAUAUUUUCUAGGUGUUUUAAGUCAAAAACAAGUUGGAAACGGGGUUCUAAAAGAAAAACUCACCAACUUCGUUUUGUAGCCACCACAGUAGCUAGAUUCUGGGGGAUUUCAGACAACACAUCAUCUAUUGUUUUUCCAUUAAUUUCAGAAGAAAAAAAAUAAGGCCCGCGAGCAGGCACUUUCUUUGUGGGUCAUGUGUUAGGUCUAUCUUACCAGACCAAUAACAUCUGGCUUCAAUCUUUUUAAUUUUUAUAAUUUUUUCUAAAUUACUGCUUUUUUAUAUGCAUUUUUAAAAAUAUUUUUUUCAGUUAUGUUUUGGUUAAUACCCUUUCUAUGUAAUUUUUUUUUUUUUGCUUAUUUAGCGUUUUUGAAAUAGUGAUUAUUUUUUAUUAUUUUGAGUGUGUUUGAUUUUUUUUAUAAGAAUAGUAUGAUUCAUCUAUAGUUUUUUUAUAUUUUAUAUAGAUUAAAUUUAUUUUUAAAAUUAAAAAAAAAUUAUUUUUUUGCAAUAUGUUUAAUAUGUGCAGUCUUGCAUAAUUUUUUUUAUUUUUUUUAUUCAAUAAAUUAUAUGUAUGUGUUGAUUUCUAUUACAGAUUGAUUUUCAUAAAUAAAUUCAUUGAAUAAAUAACCCGUAUUGUGAUAUUAAAUAUCUUAAGCUACUUUUAAUUUUUAAUUUUUCCAGAUUUUGUUUUUGUUGUUAUUAACUAUGGAAUUAAAAAAAAAAAAGACAAAUUACAAUCCCUGACAGCGCAAGUAAAAUAUAUAUAUAUAUAUAUAUAUAUAGUAAAUCCUCUCACAGAGAUCAUAUUUUUAUCUCCCCAAUUAGCUUUUGUUAAUCAUCACAACUUCACCAAAAAAAAUUUAAACAUGACAACCACUUCAGAUUCCAGUUCUAAUAGUUUGCUUCGUAAAUAACAUUUCAAUCGAUUAGAAAAAUAUUUUACUGCUAUAUUUUACUUAGAGAUACUAUGAAAUUGUAAGCAUCUUGUCUAAUAUUCGUAUAAAUUCUUUAUCUUAAUAUUUCAGAGAAUUCCGAAGAGGAGAGAUGCAGUUAAGAAGAUAAUCCUAAGGACACUGAAGCUUCUGUUUUGGGGAGUUCUGUUGCAAGGUAUGGUACUUAGGUUGUUUUCUAACAUACUAAGGUUUUGAGUUGAAAUGGUUUUUUGAUAUUAUAUCUAACAGAUUAGGUUUAUAAAUUGGAAUAAUUCUUUAAUACAAGUGCAGGAGGAUAUUCGCAUGCUCCUAGUGAUCUAGCUUAUGGAGUCGACAUGAAACUUAUUCGCUGGUUUGGCAUUCUUCAGGUUAUGUUUUCCCUAUUUAACUUCGUUACUAGAAGAUUUAGCAAAUAAAUACAUAAUCUCUAUUUCCUUUGUCUGUGAGCAGAGGAUAGCGUUGGUGUACAUGGUUGUAGCUCUAAUAGAGGCUCUAAUCCCCAAGAAUAGACAAACCAUAGAGCCUGACCAUUUUACCAUUUUCACAGCAUACCGAUGGCAAUGGUAAGAGAACAACCACACAUAGGUUAUGGCAGAGAACAACAUCAUUUGCUAUUUUUCCGUUUCAGUUCAGCCAACUUUUGACUGCAUUGAGUGAAAUUAUGUGGUAGAUAACUAUUUAUUGUAAGUUGAUGGUGAACCUUGUGCAAUUUAGGAUUGCGGGAUUCAUUUCCUUUGUCAUUUAUAUGGUCACAACCUUUGCACUUUAUGUUCCGGACUGGAGUUUCACCGUCGACGAAGACCAUGAACGACGCAGAUACACGGUAUGAAGUUAUUAACUACUAAACAGAUCAAUGGAAGAAGAUGUGCACCGGCUUUUGUUAACGAAAACCAGUCUCUGAUCCCGACUAGUUAUGACUUGAUUACAGGUUGAAUGUGGAAUGAGAGGGCAUUUAGGACCUGCAUGCAAUGCUGUUGGUUAUGUGGAUCGAGAAGUCUGGGGCAUUAAUCAUCUCUAUCAGUACCCAGUUUGGAGCCGCUUGAAGGUUAGUUAUGACUCGAGCAGAGUUUAGCUUCAAUAGGAGGUUUCGUCUCUCUUUUUUCCUGCUUCCAGCUUGUAGUAUCGUAGAUGUGUACUCUAAAAGUCCAUCUUCUUUACAAUAUUUGCAGGCUUGCACUCUCAGCUCUCCAGGUUCUGGCCCAUUUCGGAAGGAUGCUCCUAGUUGGUGCCGUGCACCAUUUGAACCUGAAGGCUUGUUGAGGUUAGAUCAUUAAGACCAUGAUCAACUUCAUGUUAUUUCAGAUAGGGAAACAAUUAGCGUAGAACUGAAUAUUGGUUUCUCUCUUUCUCUUAGUUCUAUCUCUGCUAUCCUCUCUGGCACCAUCGGCAUCCAUUACGGGCAUGUUCUGAUUCAUUUCAAGGUAAGAAGUUCUACUUUUGAUAAGGUAAUUAUCAAGCCUAUAACCUGGAAAAGCAAUCUUACUAUAUGCAGGGUCAUGCUGAAAGGCUCAGGCAAUGGGUCUCAAUGGGGGUUAUCUUACUGAUUGUAGCCAUCAUUCUUCAUUUCACUGAUGGUGAGAUCAAUUACCUUGCGAUUGUAUCCCAAACUCUGAAAAAUUAUCUGUGUGGGAUUUAAAAAUGUUGAUAUAAAGAUCAAAACAGAACUUAGAAAGUUAAUUCCUUCAUUGCUGUGCAGCUAUUCCUAUCAACAAACAGCUCUACAGCUUCAGCUACGUCUGUUUCACAGCUGGUGCUGCAGGAAUUGUAUUCUCUGGAUUCUAUGUACUGGUAAAAUACUACCGACCAUAUACAGUUUUGGGAUUUCAAUUCUGUGAUUCAAGAAUGACAGGCCCAUCACUUUGUUUGCAUUGCAUGAACAGAUUGAUGUUUGGGGAUUGAGACCGCCAUUUUUAUUCCUAGAGUGGAUAGGAAUGAAUGCAAUGCUUGUAUAUGUGAUGGCAGCACAGGGUAUCUUUGAAGGUUUUAUUAAUGGAUGGUAUUACAAGUCUCCAGACAACACACUUGUAAGUAAUUCUAUCUCUGUAUAUGGCUUGCUUGAGCACUCAAACAAUCACUAGCACAAUUUUAACUUCUUGAAAUACCACCUGCCCUAAUGGAAGAAAAAAUGUCUUACAGGUCUAUUGGAUCCAAGAACAUGUUUUCAACGAUGUAUGGCACUCAGAGAGGGUAGGAACCCUGUUGUAUGUGAUAUUUGCACAAAUCGCAUUCUGGGCAGUAGUUUCAGGCGUCUUGCACAAAUUGGGCAUAUACUGGAAGCUCUGAGAAGCCGAAUUUACUUCUGGAAAUAGGAAGUUUGAUACACUUUUCAGAUUCACACAUGUAAUUCAAAUCUUCAAAGUUUGUUUGUUUAUGGUUUUUUUCCCAUUAAUAUUGUGCCAAAUUGGGUUUGUUUGAGUGAAAAUUGUAGCACUUUCAAUCUCCAACUUUUCUACUUGUGGUCUUCUUGUAUAGGUAGGUACUGUAUAAUUCUCCACAUUGCGGCAGGAUAAAAAAAAUUUAUAUGUAAAGAAAUAAUAUCUAAAUUAAGAAAAAAUCUUUGUAAUUAUCAUCAAACUAUGUCAUGAUCUAAUUAAUUUGACUAGUUACUAGUUACAAAAAAACUUGAAUAAAAAUUUUAAAAAAUAAAUUUCAAGAUAAUAUUUUUUUUAAAAAAAAUAUUAAAACAAUUAAUAGAUUAGAUUGAGCCAAAUUAACUUAUAUUAACUCGUCAAACUUAUAAUUUGAAUCAUAAAAUUCAUUAAGUUUAAUAACUUUGAUUCUUUAAAAACUAUAUUUAUUUAAUUAUAUGAUAAAAAAUAGACGUUUUCAAAACCGAGCAUUAAUUCAAUACCGAGAUGUUUUUUUUAAAUCACGAUAACUCCAUAAAAAAUAAAUCAUGAAGCCUAAUUCUCAAUAAUUAUAUAUUUUUAUGGAAUUAUUUUUUAUUUAAUAAUAUAAUAAAAAAAUAGAUGCACAAAAAACAAAGCAUCAAUCCAAUACUGGUAUGUUUUUUUAAGAUCGUAAUAACUUUAUAGAAAGUGAAUCAAAAUAAAUUAUAAAACUCACAAUUCAUAAUAAUUACUUUUUUUCUAAAGAAUUUUUUAUUUAACAAUAUAAUAGAUAACUUUUCAUCUAAUAAUAUGAUAGGAAAAAAAAACAAUUAUAAAAUUUAAACAUCAACCCAAUAAUAAAAAAAAAAUUAGAUCAUGAUAACCUUCAAUUAAUUCUUGUUAAAUAAUAACCACCAAAAUUGAUAUUAUAAAUUUUAGAAGUCGCUACUUUAUUUUUCAAAAAACAAAAACAAAAUAAGAUUUCACUAAUCGUGGGAGUGCUAAACGGGACACAAGAAACGAUAACGCUUCAAUGUCUCACACGGCCACUCCUUAAGCAGUCCUCAUAGACACAAACGGUGCAAUGCAGCCUACCCAAUCCAAAUGGUGCAGGAUCACUUUCAAUUGGUUGGAAACUGCAACACUGUGAGCUGUGGUCGUAUCUUGCCAUGCAUUCCAAUUGUCAAACAGAACAUGCAUGUUGCUUCUGCCAGUUUAGGCUCCCUGUUCCGGACUUGCUAGUUCACCAUUCCACUAAAGGGUGCACAUAUAAGAUGGUGACAGGUGAUUCACAACUCCAAACUUCUUGGGACAUGACGGAUUCCCUAAAACGUCAGUGUUCCUCUAUUUCGUUUCCUUCCACACUUCUUCCCGAUUUUGCUCAGUUAAAUCCUCUUCAAAGUUCGAAGUUCUUCAAAGCUUAGAGCUUCUAUAAAGGUUAUCGAAUUUUCCCAUCAAUCAAAACAGUCUACUUAAUAGAUCCUCUGGCAGUUGCUAUUUAUCUAAUUUCUGAAAUCAAGUUGAUCGUAAGAGGUUAAACCCACGCAUGCAAUUUCCUCUUUUAACACAAAAGGUGGCUGUUCUGGUAGCGAGAACUUCAAUACAGCACAUGGGGAGGUGAUUUCCGUUUCCUCCUAACCCCGUCAUAUGAUUGUUAAAAAAAACUAAAUACAAAUCUAAUGCCCGAGAAAUGCUGAUUAUGUAGCACGUUGAUAAAUCAUCCAACUUGAAUAGUAUCUUCUGAAAGUUUUGUUGUAUAUAUAUUCUGUGUAGAGCUAUGGAAAAAUUCACCAUCCAAACCCUUAAAAAGGAAUAUAAUUAUCUAAACUGGGUCAACACAAGGCUUCACCUGGAUCAAUAUAAGAUAAGUCUAUAAAAAACUGCAGUUGUCAAUGCAACAAAAAAUAGUUUACAGUCACACAAAUUGCCAAGUUGAUGUUCAUUCCAAAUUCAAACUUUUGACGCUGCAGUAGCUUGAGGAAAUCUCAGUUACAAACAUUAUUGAGAGAGAGAGAGAGUAGCAUGAGAAUACUUUAUAUCUAACAGAGACCUUAGGUUGCAUUAAGAAAAACCUCAAGAGCUGAUGUUCACGCACAUAAAAGCAGUUCCAAAUUCACUCCUGCUUUCCAUCUCCUACUGCCACAGGUUUCGCAACAGGUUCACCUUCCGCUUCCAUCUGCUACAACAUGUAAGACCCUAGUUUAAAUUUUACUGUUGAAAGCAGAAUACCCACCAAAACAAGCAAGAAAAAUCACACCCUAAACAGCCACGCCCACACCUAGCCAUCCAACCACAAUCAUUUUUCCAGGGCAAGCGCAAGGAUAGCAAUAAAGUUAAAAGUAAUCAUCUAUUGCAAAAUAACAAGCAACAAUAGGAGUAAUCUAGCGAAUUAGCAUGGAAAAAGAACACCAAAAACUUGGUAUCGUAAUUUCUUACACAAUUCUCAAAUUACAGAUGAUAAUAAGUGAAUUUAGAAAAGAAGUGGACUGACUUUGUUAGUAGUGUUAAUACUGGAAGCAGGGGGCUUAUAAGGACACGCUGGAGGAGCUCUCUCUGGUUUCCUGUAUUCCCA